This is an RNA transcript of Homo sapiens (human), 1994 nucleotides long. It is a transcript of the gene named anaphase-promoting complex subunit 1-like, with no coding region annotated. NCBI's taxonomy places the organism in Eukaryota, Metazoa, Chordata, Mammalia, Primates, Hominidae. The transcript is spliced from 4 exons. The record is from RefSeq and is marked validated.
CACCCUGCCAGGACCAGGGCCAGGACAGCCACGUAUCACCUCCCCGCUCAGGCCCCGGGAGCGCAGACCUUGGGCAGCCCGCGCGCCGCCGCCUUACCUGUCAGCUGCGCGGCCAGGAGGAGCCACAGCCGCGGCCGCAUCGGGGCGCGCCCGGGACACCUGGCCCCGGGGGCUCGGCGGAGACAGUCGCGGCUGGGUUUUGAGUCUGGAAGCUGACCAGAAUGUGUUUGAAGUCAUACAGAAAUAAUGUUGAUAUUUGGAACCCAUGACGAACUUCUAUGAAGAAAGGACAACGAUGAUUGCAGCCAGGGAUUUGCAGGAAUUUGUUCCUUUUGGUGGAGACCACUGCAAGCACCACCCUAAUGCUUUGAACCUUCAACUUCGCCAGCUGCAGCCAGCUUCAGAAUUAUGGUCUUCUGAUGGUGCUGCUGGCUUGGUGGGAUCCCUUCAGGAGGUUACAAUCCACGAGAAACAGAAGGAAAACUGGCAGUUAAGGAAAGGAGUAAGUGAAAUUGGAGAAGAUGUGGACUAUGAUGAGGAACUCUAUGUUGCUGGAAAUAUGGUGAUAUGGAGCAAAGGAAGUAAAAGCCAGGCAUUGGCAGUUUAUAAAGCAUUUACAGUUGACAGUCCUGUUCAGCAGGACCCUCUAAUGGCCUCUAAGUUUUCAAAUGAAGGGAAGAAUCACAAGUUUCUCACUUUACAUCAAAAACUAGAAAUGAUUAAGCUUCGUGAGGAAGGCGUGUUGAAAGCUGAGAUAGGUUGAGAGCCAGACCACCUGUGCACAAGAGCCAACUUGCGCAUGCAGAGGAAAAGCUCUCGAAGGAAAUUAAAAGUGCUAUUUCAGUGAACAUGGCAACUGAUAAAGCGAAACAGCCUUAUCGCUGAUAUGAAGAAAGUUUUAGUGUCUGGACAGAAGAUCAAACCAGCCAUAACAUUCCCUUAUGCUGAAGUCGAAUCCACAGCAAGGCCCUAACUCUCUUUAAUUCUGUGACGGCCAAGAAAGGUGAAGAAGCUGCAGACGAAAAGUUGUAAGCUAACAGAGGUUGAUUCUUGAGGUUUAAGGAAAAAAGCCCUCUCUAUAACACAAAAGUGCAAGGUGAAGCAGCAUGUGCUGAUGUAGAAGCUGCUAAGAUAAUUGAUGCAGGUGGCUACACUAAACAGAUUUUCAGUGUGGAUGAAACAGCUUUCUGUUGGAAGAAGAUGCCAUCUAGGACUUUCAUAACCUGAGAGGAGAAGUCAGUGCCUGGCUUCAAAGGACAGUCUGACCCUCUUGUUAGGGGCUAAUGCAGCUGGUGACUUAAAGUUGAAGCCCGUGCUCAUUUACCAUUUCAAAAAUCUUAGGGCCCUUAAGAAUUAUACCAAGUCUGCUCUGCCUGGGCUCUAUAAAUGGAGCGACAAAGACUGGAUGGCAGCACACCUGUUUAUAGCAUGGUUUACUGAAUGUGUCAAGCCCACUGUUGAGACGUAUUGCUCAGAAAAAAGAUUCCUUUCAAAAUAUUACCGCUCAUUGACAGUGCACCUGGUCAUCUAAGAGCUCUGAGGGAGAUGUACAGGAGAUGAAUGUUGUUUUCAUGCCUGCUGACAUAUCUGUUCUGCAGCCUGUGAAGGAGUAAUUUUGACUUUCAAGUCUUACUAUGAAAUACAUUACUUAACUAGAGCUGCCAUAGAUAGUGAUUCCUCUAAGAGAUCUGGCAAAGUCCAUUGAAAACCUUCUGGGCCGGGUGCGGCAGCUCACGCCUGUAAUCCUAGCACUUUGGGAGGCCGAGGCAGGUGGAUCACGAGGUCAGGAGAUCGAGACCACCCUGGCUAACACAGUGAAACCCUGUGUCUACUAAAAGUACAAAAAAUUAGCCGGGCGUGGUGGCGUGUGCCUGUAGUUCCAGCUACUCGGGAGGCUGAGGCAGGAGACUGGCAUGAACCCAGGAGGCAGAGCUUGCAGUGAGCCGAGAUUGCGCCACUGCACUCCAGCCUGGGCAACAGAGGGAGACUCCAUC